CGAGACAGUUCGGUCUCCUAUCCGCUACGGGCGUGGAAACUUGAGGGUACGCUUCUCUAGUACGAGAGGACCGAGAAGCACGAACCUCUGGUGUACCAGUUGUUCUGCCAAGGGCAUUGCUGGGUAGCUACGUUCGGUGGGGAUAAGCGCUGAAAGCAUAUAAGCGCGAAGCUCCAUCCAAGAUUAGGUUUCAUAGACUCCAGGGAGACUACCUGGUUGAUAGGCGGCAGGUGUAAGGCCAGCAAUGGUUUCAGCCGAGCCGUACUAAUAAGUCAUUC
Molecule: ribosomal RNA, 278 nt
Filed under: Candidatus Uhrbacteria bacterium CG_4_10_14_0_8_um_filter_58_22
Lineage: Bacteria; Candidatus Uhriibacteriota
Description: partial 23S ribosomal RNA
Rfam family: Bacterial large subunit ribosomal RNA
Source: RNAcentral